GACGAACGCUGGCGGCGUGCCUAAUACAUGCAAGUAGAACGCUGAAGGAGGAGCUUGCUUCUCCGGAUGAGUUGCGAACGGGUGAGUAACGCGUAGGUAACCUGCCUGGUAGCGGGGGAUAACUAUUGGAAACGAUAGCUAAUACCGCAUAACAGUAGAUGUUGCAUGACAUUUGCUUAAAAGGUGCAAUUGCAUCACUACCAGAUGGACCUGCGUUGUAUUAGCUAGUUGGUGAGGUAACGGCUCACCAAGGCGACGAUACAUAGCCGACCUGAGAGGGUGAUCGGCCACACUGGGACUGAGACACGGCCCAGACUCCUACGGGAGGCAGCAGUAGGGAAUCUUCGGCAAUGGACGGAAGUCUGACCGAGCAACGCCGCGGGAGUGAAGAAGGUUUUCGGACCGUAAAGCUCUGUUGUAAGAGAAGAACGAGUGUGAGAGUGGAAAGUUCACACUGUGACGGUAGCUUACCAGAAAGGGACGGCUAACUACGUG
This 495-nucleotide ribosomal RNA is filed under the name uncultured bacterium. RNAcentral's name for it is "partial 16S ribosomal RNA". It matches the Rfam family "Bacterial small subunit ribosomal RNA", at positions 28 to 507 of the family's 1533-position model. The record is from RNAcentral.